This 732-nucleotide ribosomal RNA is filed under the name Salmonella enterica subsp. enterica serovar Abortusequi. RNAcentral's name for it is "partial 23S ribosomal RNA". It matches the Rfam family "Bacterial large subunit ribosomal RNA", at positions 2202 to 2925 of the family's 2925-position model. The record is from RNAcentral. Lineage: Bacteria; Pseudomonadati; Pseudomonadota; Gammaproteobacteria; Enterobacterales; Enterobacteriaceae.
ACCCUUUAAUGUUUGAUGUUCUAACGUGGACCCGUUACCCGGGUUGCGGACAGUGUCUGGUGGGUAGUUUGACUGGGGCGGUCUCCUCCUAAAGAGUAACGGAGGAGCACGAAGGUUGGCUAAUCCUGGUCGGACAUCAGGAGGUUAGUGCAAUGGCAUAAGCCAGCUUGACUGCGAGCGUGACGGCGCGAGCAGGUGCGAAAGCAGGUCAUAGUGAUCCGGUGGUUCUGAAUGGAAGGGCCAUCGCUCAACGGAUAAAAGGUACUCCGGGGAUAACAGGCUGAUACCGCCCAAGAGUUCAUAUCGACGGCGGUGUUUGGCACCUCGAUGUCGGCUCAUCACAUCCUGGGGCUGAAGUAGGUCCCAAGGGUAUGGCUGUUCGCCAUUUAAAGUGGUACGCGAGCUGGGUUUAGAACGUCGUGAGACAGUUCGGUCCCUAUCUGCCGUGGGCGCUGGAGAACUGAGGGGGGCUGCUCCUAGUACGAGAGGACCGGAGUGGACGCAUCACUGGUGUUCGGGUUGUCAUGCCAAUGGCACUGCCCGGUAGCUAAAUGCGGAAGAGAUAAGUGCUGAAAGCAUCUAAGCACGAAACUUGCCCCGAGAUGAGUUCUCCCUGAGACUUUAAGUCUCCUGAAGGAACGUUGAAGACGACGACGUUGAUAGGCCGGGUGUGUAAGCGCAGCGAUGCGUUGAGCUAACCGGUACUAAUGAACCGUGAGGCUUAACCUUACA